GGGGGGAAAGGGGAAACUUUGCUCCUGAUGUUAGCGGCGGACGGGUGAGUAACACGUGGGUAACCUGCCUGUAAGACUGGGAUAACUCCGGGAAACCGGGGCUAAUACCGGAUGGUUGUUUGAACCGCAUGGUUCAGACAUAAAAGGUGGCUUCGGCUACCACUUACAGAUGGACCCGCGGCGCAUUAGCUAGUUGGUGAGGUAACCGGCUCACCAAGGCGACGAUGCGUAAGCCGACCUGAGAGGGUGAUCGGCCACACUGGGACUGAGACACGGCCCAGACUCCUACGGGAGGCAGCAGUAGGGAAUCUUCCGCAAUGGACGAAAGUCUGACGGGAGCAACGCCGCGUGAGUGAUGAAGGUUUUCGGAUCGUAAAGCUCUGUUGUUAGGGAAGAACAAGUGCCGUUCAAAUAGGGCGGCACCUUGACGGUACCCUAACCAGAAAGCCACGGCUAACUACGUGCCAGCAGCCGCGGUAAUACGUAGGUGGCAAGCGUUGUCCGGAAUUAUUGGGCGUAAAGGGCUCGCAGGCGGUUUCUUAAGUCUGAUGUGAAAGCCCCCGGCUCAACCGGGGAGGGUCAUUGGAAACUGGGGAACUUGAGUGCAGAAGAGGAGAGUGGAAUUCCACGUGUAGCGGUGAAAUGCGUAGAGAUGUGGAGGAACACCAGUGGCGAAGGCGACUCUCUGGUCUGUAACUGACGCUGAGGAGCGAAAGCGUGGGGAGCGAACAGGAUUAGAUACCCUGGUAGUCCACGCCGUAAACGAUGAGUGCUAAGUGUUAGGGGGUUUCCGCCCCUUAGUGCUGCAGCUAACGCAUUAAGCACUCCGCCUGGGGAGUACGGUCGCAAGACUGAAACUCAAAGGAAUUGACGGGGGCCCGCACAAGCGGUGGAGCAUGUGGUUUAAUUCGAAGCAACGCGAAGAACCUUACCAGGUCUUGACAUCCUCUGACAAUCCUAGAGAUAGGACGUCCCCUUCGGGGGCAGAGUGACAGGUGGUGCAUGGUUGUCGUCAGCUCGUGUCGUGAGAUGUUGGGUUAAGUCCCGCAACGAGCCGCAACCCUUGAUCUUAGGUUGCCAGCAUUCAGUUGGGCACUCUAAGGUGACUGCCGGUGACAAACCGGAGGAAGGUGGGGAUGACGUCAAAUCAUCAUGCCCCUUAUGACCUGGGCUACACACGUGCUACAAUGGACAGAACAAAGGGCAGCGAAA
This 1212-nucleotide ribosomal RNA is filed under the name Bacillus velezensis. RNAcentral describes it as "bacterial SSU rRNA". It matches the Rfam family "Bacterial small subunit ribosomal RNA", at positions 64 to 1254 of the family's 1533-position model. The record is from RNAcentral. Lineage: Bacteria; Bacillati; Bacillota; Bacilli; Caryophanales; Bacillaceae.